Molecule: long non-coding RNA, 703 nt
Filed under: Rattus norvegicus (Norway rat)
Lineage: Eukaryota; Metazoa; Chordata; Mammalia; Rodentia; Muridae
Description: long non-coding RNA NONRATT005254
Source: RNAcentral
ACAGGCAUGGCCCACUGUGCCUGGCGUGGUGCUUAACUGUUCUCUAGACUGCUAACUUCCUUACCUAAGGCCAGGAGGGAAGACUGGCUCUUGGUUUUGGUACCAUUGAAGGACAGCUUACAGUAGGCACUAGAGGUUGGUCUGUGGUCUCCCAGCAGGUAGCCAGUGAGGCAGCCACUGUGCCCAGGACCCACCCGUGCUCUCAGUGCAGUGAGACUUUCCCAUCAGCGGCUACCUUGGAGGCCCACAAGAGAGGUCAUAUAGGUGGGUAGCAGGGAGGUGAAGGGGGUCCAUGGGUAGGGUGGUCUGUGGGCUGCCAGCUGGUGGGCUUGUGGGUGGUGAAAAUGCCCUGACAUUGGGUACGGCUUCAGGGCCGAGGCCAUUCACCUGCACACAGUGUGGCAAGGCCUUCCCCAAAGCCUACCUGCUCAAGAAGCACCAGGAGGUGCAUGUGCACGAGCGCCGCUUCCGUUGUGGAGACUGUGGGAAGCUUUAUAAGACCAUUGCCCAUGUGCGGGGCCACCGGCGUGUCCACUCCGACGAGAGGCCUUUCCCUUGUCCCCAGUGUGGCAAGCGUUACAAGACCAAGAAUGCCCAGCAAGUGCACUUCCGGACACAUUUGGAAGAAAAGCCCCACGUGUGCCAGUUCUGCAGCCGAGGCUUCCGGGAGAAGGGCUCUCUAGUGCGGCAUGUGAGGCACCAC